AAAAAAAAAAUCAUUCUAAGAUAUCAGAAAUCCAACAUCUAGGUAGGAGCUCUCUCGCUUCUCUCUAAAGUUUUUGUCAUUUCUCUCUCGCUUCUCUCUAAACCUAAGUCUUUUUGUGCGCCGUCAGCCUCUCCGGCAUGCCCUUCAGGCGCCGGAGAGGGCAUUAGCUUCCCUAGUUCUUGUUCUUCUUCCACGGCGUGGUUCUCUUCUUCGGCGAGGUUGUCCUCCGUCUCUGUCUGGUCUCCGGUGGUGGUUCUGGUUCGAGAUUCGGCGCGUGGUGGUCGAUCCGCCUUUGUGUGGCCGCUGCUGUUCUAUUGGCUCCGAUUGCUUGAGGACAACAUCGAUUUCGGUGGUGACUUUAGCGGAUCUGGGUCUGGUGGUUCGUCUGUUGUCCAUUUCUCUCCGAUGGUUUGUUGGCUUUAAGGGGUUUUGGGGUUUCUGGUCUCUUCUUGUCGAAGUAGUUCCAGUGGUCGCUUUUUUGGUGAGUUCUCGCCGGAUUUGUCGAUUCUCUCCUCUCCAGGCGGUACGGUUCUUCGUUGGUCAAGGUUCUGGUUCGUGGGAGGCCGUUGGAGGUGUGGUGGUUUCUCCCAUUUGAUGCGGCUGUGGCUCCGUUUUGGUGGAAGAGAAGAGCCGAAGUCGUGUAACUCUAGUUCAAGGACGCUAGUGGUUCACGGAGGUGUCUUCUCGAGGCUCAUCUUCCAAUUUGGUAGCUGCGGUUCGCGGCGGAAGUCGGUGGGAGAACGGAGGGUUGCGCUGUUUGUUUUGGCGGUUAACUGCGGAAUUUGUUGGAUUCCUAGAGGGCGCUCGCGAUUCCCGGUUUAUGGAGGCUAUUUGAGCCACAAGCUGAUGUAAACCGACGCGUUGCUAGCAUCCGCCGGACCGGAUUGAUUUGAUCUUGCUCGGAGUUGAGGAGGACGCUUGAUCUAGAGGAGUGGUGUUAGAACCCAGGGGGUUAGGUUGCUAGGUACGGGACCUAACUCCGGUAGAGCCUGUUGUCGGGGAUUUAAGCGGUCCGGGAUUUCUGUGGCGGGUUAGGUGGGUCAUCGGGAAGGAGCCGGACAUGGAAAUCAAACGCUUCUGUCGACGGAUCUGAUCUAGUGGCAUUGCCGCAAAGCUGUGGGGGUUGUGUUUGCUGGUACUACUGUUCAAAUCCCUGCCUCCGGUCGUCAGCAGGUUCCGAUCCACUCCUCCGGUGAUGGAUUUUUUUUUUCUCUUUCUCCUUUUUGUACCUGUUUUCUGUUUUUGUAAAGUCCAAGGCUUUGCCCUUUUUAAAGAAGUCCCAUUUUAAAUAUA
Long non-coding RNA from Arabidopsis lyrata subsp. lyrata, 1293 nucleotides. RefSeq lists it as uncharacterized. The record is from RefSeq and is a predicted model, not a curated record. NCBI's taxonomy places the organism in Eukaryota, Viridiplantae, Streptophyta, Magnoliopsida, Brassicales, Brassicaceae. The transcript has 2 exons.